CUCAGGUGAUCUGCCUGCCUCGGCCGCCCAAAGUGCUGGGAUUACAGGUAUGAGCCACCUCACCCAGAUAAUUUUUUUUUUUUUUUGAGACGGCAUCUCGCUCUGUCGCCCAGGCUGGAGUGCAGUGGUGCGAUCUCGGCUCACUGCAAGCUCCACCUCCCGGGUUCACACCAUUGUCCUGCCUCAGCCUCCCAGGUAGCUGGGACUACAGGCGCCCGCCACCACGCCUGGCUAAUUUUUUGUACUUUUUAGUAGAGAUGGAGUUUCUAUGUGUUAGCCAGGAUGGUCUCGAUCUCCUGACCUCGUGAUCCACCAGCCUCGGCCUCCCACAGUGCUGGGAUUACAGGCGUGAGCCACUGCGCCUGGCCCACAGCUUGCUUUUAUACAUUUUAAGGAGACAUGAGACAUCAAUCAAUAUAUGUAAGAAGUACAUUAGUUCUAUCCAGAAAGGUGGGGACAGCUCAAAGCAAGCCCCCACCCCCCGGGGGAGGUAGAUGGAGGCUGAGAGAUCAGACCUUGCGGGGCACUUGGGGACAUCAGGUGGGACAGGCCCCAGGUGCACCCUCAGUGCACUGGGCAGGUCUCAGGAUCCUGGCCUGGUAAUGUGGUCACUCCCUCGAGGACUGCUUUUGGGGCCCAGUCACCCACCCUGGGCCAUACACGUCCUUUCUCAGGACUGGACUUUCUCAGCUCCUGCAGAGGGCACUGCCUCUAGCCCAGGAGGGGCAGCCCUGUUGUGUAGCCCAAGCCCAUGCUCUACAGGGCCCUAGUGGUCCCUGCCCCACCCACACACCCCUCUUCUCCCAGGUCCUGUCCCUUCACAGGCGUCAGCCCACAGGGAGACCCUCUUCCUACCUUCCCUGUGUGUCUCCUGGGCUAAGACCAGGGGUGGGGUGGGGAGAGACACGGCUGGUCCUUCCCUAGGACUGCUAGGGAAGGAGGAGGACAGCUCCCGGCCCAGCACAGGCCCUCAGCUCUGUCUGGGUUGCCUUACAGUGAGACAAAGCUGCCAUCGAUCAGUGCCCUGGAGGCAAAGGUAAGACCUGCUGCCUGAGAGGCUGGUCCAGGGACAGGAGGACUUGGCAGGUGGUCAGCAGCCCGUGGGCACCAGCGAUGGUGAGUGGGAGAGACAGGCUGUCCCUGGGAGGGGUGGCAGUUCCUGCUGGACCUGACCCCAAGACUCUGUCCCCAUUGGUUGUUUGACCAAACUCCAAACUGAGAACCGCAGUCACGGCUCGGGGGUUGCUGUCUGCUUGCACCAGGACCCCACCUGGAGGCUAGUACUUGACCAAAGUCCAGUGUCUGUGGCCUGAGGAUGGCAUGUCCCAGGUCGUGAGGCCAGGUCACAGACGCCUGUUCAGUCAGAGGGUCUCAGUCCCCGGGGCCUGCCCUUUCCUGGUUCUUUUUGUGGUUCAGUCCCGUCAGGGCCUCGGAGCCCAGGAUACAGCAUCCAAAGGCUGCUUCAGGAAGCCUUGGUAGCUCCGCUAACUUCUGGUCAUAGUUGACAGCAAAGACGUCAGGAGAUGAGAGGCACAGAGAAAUGGCUCCAGAUGCUUCAAGACGGGCAGGGAUAUAGGAGUGGCAAGGAGGUGACAUGGGGAGGGAGGGCCCCCGUGACCGCUCUCUACAGAGUCAGGGGGAUGGGCUCCCAUGGCUGGGUCCUGGCACUGCCUGCCUCUCAGAGGGUGGGUGACACACUGUCCUCACCCUGGACAGCAGGUCUGGUCACCAGCUUUCCUGUUUGUCCCUGCAAACCUCAACUUGCUGGAGACAGUGUGAUGCCAGGGCAUGAGCCAGGACUAUCUCAGGGAUAGGGACACCCCCUGGCAAACCGAAGGAAGGAAUAGGUCAAGAUGAGAAUUCAUAACUCUGAAUCGUGGGAGGGAGGCCUGGUCCUAGGUAAACUGCACAUCCCCUGAAAAACCAACAAGUCAGAGACUGGAGACUUCCAGAAUCCUCAGGCUCCGAUCCUCCCUGGGGCUGCCCCAGACCCUGUUUCUUCAGAGUGUUCUGUCCCAAGUUGAUAGACAGCGUGUAUAAAGGCAUUCUCCAUAGAUGUGGGGCCAAGUGUGGUCACACUUCCUGGAUGUCGAGAAGGUGAAGGCCGAGAACUGGUGGAAAUACGAGGUAUGACCCUUCCGAAGUCAGCCAGAGGAGGACAAACAGGCCAGGCUGUGUUGAGAGCCCAAGCCUCCAGCUGGAGGGAACGCAGAGCCUGGGUUGAAGGUGGAGGGGGCAUGGUCAGGCGGACAUCCUGGGCAGAGACGGUGAUGCCAGCACCAAAGGUGAGCUGAGCUCCAGGACUAGUUGGAUUGUAAGGAACCAAGCCAGAGGAGGAGCUUUCUGCAGAAGGAAACCAACCUUCCUUCCUUCCUUCCUUCCUCCUGUCCUUUCCUUUCCUUUUUCCUUUCCUUUUUCCUUUCCUUUCCUUCCGGGCUGCCUGUGGACGACUGCCGUGUGGGGCAGCCAGUCUUCUCUCUGUUCAGAGGCUGCUUCCUCUUCCUGGCCCUGCCCUGGAGGUCAUGAAGAUGAAGGGAAAGAGGUCCCCCCUGGAACUUCCACCAGAUCAACCUGGAUGUCAGCCAUACACUAAGAAACCACAUGAUGUUUUGGCCACAAUGCAGUGUCAAUUAAGGCUUGCAGGGCUGGAGAGCCCUGGGGAGAUGGCGUGAACCAGAGGGAUGGGAGCUUCACCAGAGCAGAGGCAGGGGUCACCCAGGAGGGGUGACAGAGCUACCAAAAGCUUUCCAGGCCCAGGGAGCAGCUAGCACAAUAGACUGAGUGCCUUCCUGGUUGCAAGCCCUGGGCCUGGCUGGGAUAUGUGGGGCCGGAGCCCAGGUGGCUCCCGAGGAGACAGAGAGCAAUGAACAAAAUCAUGAGAAAUGGUGGAAAGUUCAGUAACCUACGGGAGGGCGGCAGGAUGAGGGGCUCGGGAGCCUUCCCAAGCCACACUGACGACACCAAAUGCCGAGACGAUGUGCGGUCCCGGGGACCUUUGUCCCUGCCAGGUGGGAAUGCGACAGGGCACAGCCCCUUUGGGAACCCGUUGGGCGGCUCUGCACGAAACUCGGUGGACUCGUGCCACAUGUCCCAGAAGAUUCUCAGAGACUGAUCCCACUGAUUUGAAAACUGAUGGCCAUGUAAAACCUGCAUGCCACGUCCACAGCUUGAUUCACCGUCACUCACAGUUGAAGGCCACCAAGACAAUCUUCAACCCGGGAAUAGUAAAAUCCACUUUCACCAAAACAUUUCAUAAAACUCAGUGGCCCUGAAGAGCUCACUGCUUAUUCUGCGCAUCAUCUGGACCUGGAAUUGGAUUCCUUGUUGGAACACGAUAGAGAGAACAAAACAGCAUCCGUGUGAACCCAAACCCUCUUUUCUCUCUUUCCUAG
This 3392-nucleotide long non-coding RNA is filed under the name Homo sapiens (human). RNAcentral's name for it is "non-protein coding lnc-ZNF101-1:1". Lineage: Eukaryota; Metazoa; Chordata; Mammalia; Primates; Hominidae. The record is from RNAcentral.